This 301-nucleotide ribosomal RNA is filed under the name uncultured bacterium. RNAcentral describes it as "partial 16S ribosomal RNA". It matches the Rfam family "Bacterial small subunit ribosomal RNA", at positions 509 to 807 of the family's 1533-position model. The record is from RNAcentral.
CAGCAGCCGCGGGAAUACAGAGGGUGCGAGCGUUAAUCGGAUUUACUGGGCGUAAAGCGUGCGUAGGCGGCUUCUUAAGUCGGAUGUGAAAUCCCUGAGCUUAACUUAGGAAUUGCAUUCGAUACUGGGAAGCUAGAGUAUGGGAGAGGAUGGUGGAAUUCCAGGUGUAGCGGUGAAAUGCGUAGAGAUCUGGAGGAAUACCGAUGGCGAAGGCAGCCAUCUGGCCUAAUACUGACGCUGAGGUACGAAAGCAUGGGGAGCAAACAGGAUUAGAUACCCGCGUAGUCCCUGUCUCUUAUAC